This 679-nucleotide ribosomal RNA is filed under the name uncultured bacterium. Its description in RNAcentral is "bacterial SSU rRNA". It matches the Rfam family "Bacterial small subunit ribosomal RNA", at positions 49 to 749 of the family's 1533-position model. The record is from RNAcentral.
UAACACAUGCAAGUCGAACGAUGAUAGAGAGCUUGCUUUCUUGAUUAGUGGCGCACGGGUGAGUAAUGCAUAGAUAAUGUGCCCUUAGUUCGGGAUAGCCACUGGAAACGGUGAUUAAUACCGGAUACUCCUUCUUGUUAUAAGACAAGUCGGGAAAGUUUUUCGCUAAGGGAUCAGUCUAUGUUCCAUCAGCUUGUUGGUGAGGUAAUGGCUCACCAAGGCUAUGACGGAUAUCUGGUUUGAGAGGAUGAUCAGACACACUGGAACUGAGACACGGUCCAGACUCCUACGGGAGGCAGCAGUGAGGAAUAUUGCACAAUGGAGGAAACUCUGAUGCAGCAACGCCGCGUGGAGGAUGACGCAUUUCGGUGUGUAAACUCCUUUUAUUAGGGAAGAUAAUGACGGUACCUAAUGAAUAAGCACCGGCUGACUCCGUGCCAGCAGCCGCGGUAAUACGGAGGGUGCAAGCGUUACUCGGAAUCACUGGGCGUAAAGGGUGCGUAGGCUGGCUUUUAAGUCAGAUGUGAAAUCCAAUGGCUCAACCAUUGAACUGCAUUUGAAACUGAAAGCCUAGAGUUCAGAAGGGGCAGAUGGAAUUAGUGGUGUAGGGGUAAAAUCCGUAGAUAUCACUAGGAAUAUCAAAAGCGAAGGCGAUCUGCUGGGAUGAUACUGACGCUGA